This 352-nucleotide long non-coding RNA is filed under the name Felis catus (domestic cat). RNAcentral describes it as "lncRNA (ENSFCAG00000045142.2)". Lineage: Eukaryota; Metazoa; Chordata; Mammalia; Carnivora; Felidae. The record is from RNAcentral.
AUGUUUGCAGAGCUGGCACACCCAGUGCUGGGUCAAUGUGAUUCAAAACUGAGAGGACCCCCAGUGAAAAUUUCUGUCCAGAUCUCAUUUUCUUUUUUUGCAUCUUCCAUUAAUAUUUUUAGCUUGAAUGAGUGGAUGAUUAAUCACGUCCUUCUAGACUCAGGAAACCUACAUUUUUACAGCUCUGUGGCUUUUUUUUCCUCCUGUAUAGCACAUAGCUGGUCACACUGACUGCAAAGCUUGUGGGUGCUGUGGAAUGGGAUUAUUUAGUGAAUAUUCAUUGGAGCUUCUACAUCGUGUUGGGGCCAUCGUGUUGGAAAUACAAGAAUAAAUAAGAUGACGAUGAAAAUCA